GAGUUUGAUCGUGGCUCAGAACGAACGCUGGCGGCAUGCCUAACACAUGCAAGUCGAACGAGACCUUCGGGUCUAGUGGCGCACGGGUGCGUAACGCGUGGGAAUCUGCCCUUGGGUUCGGAAUAACAGUUAGAAAUGACUGCUAAUACCGGAUGAUGUCUUCGGACCAAAGAUUUAUCGCCCCAGGGGAUGAGCCCGCGUCGGAUUAGCUAGUUGGUAGGGUAAAAGCCUACCAAGGCGACGGAUCCGUAGCUGGUCUGAGAGGAUGAUCAGCCACACUGGGACUGAGACACGGCCCAGACUCCUACGGGAGGCAGCAGUGGGGGAAUAUUGGACAAUGGGCGAAAGCCUGAUCCAGCAAUGCCGCGUGAGUGAUGAAGGCCUUAGGGUUGUAAAGCUCUUUUACCCGGGAUGAUAAUGACAGUACCGGGAGAAUAAGCCCCGGCUAACUCCGUGCCAGCCGCCGCUGUAAU
Molecule: ribosomal RNA, 473 nt
Filed under: uncultured Alphaproteobacteria bacterium
Lineage: Bacteria; Pseudomonadati; Pseudomonadota; Alphaproteobacteria
Description: bacterial SSU rRNA
Rfam family: Bacterial small subunit ribosomal RNA
Source: RNAcentral